CUGUAUAAGGUAGUAUGAUAAAAACAGGGGUUGGUGCUGUAUAAGGUAGUAUGAUAAAAACAGGGGUUGGUGCUGUAUAAGGUAGUAUGAUAAAAACAGGGGUUGGUGCUGUAUAAGGUAGUAUGAUAAAAACAGGGGUUGGUGCUGUAUAAGGUAGUAUGAUAAAAACAGGGGUUGGUGCUGUAUAAGGUAGUAUGAUAAAAACAGGGGUUGGUGCUGUAUGAGGUAGUAUGAUAAAAACAGGGGUUGGUGCUGUAUAAGGUAGUAUGAUAAAAACAGGGGUUGGUGCUGUAUAAGGUAGUAUGAUAAAAACAGGGGUUGGUGC
This is a long non-coding RNA of Oncorhynchus tshawytscha (Chinook salmon), 325 nucleotides long. Lineage: Eukaryota; Metazoa; Chordata; Actinopteri; Salmoniformes; Salmonidae. The record is from Ensembl.